CUUCUAACAGAGUCAGACCUGUUUGUUGAUGAAAUGACCGGCUUGCUGACAAAGAGGGGCAUCAAUGGAGAGACAGAUCUAGGCCCUUCUUUGGCAUUUCGAAGAAGCUAGGGUCACAGACCAUCAUGGCAUCAGGAGCUUGAAGCAUCUAGUCUCCUUACAUCCUAUCAGAAGAGGGAUGAACACAUGGCUGCUUCCUAGUUCCUGUUCUCCAGAUUUCAGGUCUAUGGGAGCACGCGGCAGGGUACAAUGUAGCCGCACUACACCAUGGGCUAGUGAGAGCCGGGAGGAGCGACCAUGGCGGAGGAAGGACACAAAGAAAGCAGCUCAAGACCAAGAUGAAGAGAUAGAGGAUCUGAUAAAACCUGCUCCAAGGUACUGACCAGACUUUGGUUUUAUAGAACGCCUUGAUAUGAAGCUGAGAGAGCGAGCGCCUUUGCUGGUGCCAGCGUGGGAAAGGUCUGAGCAGCAAGAGACAAGGACCCACGGAUGAAAUGAGGUGUCUGUCUUCGUGGUGAGAUGACGUGGCUGUCUUGGGAUCCAGAUCUCCUUUUCAUGUAGUUAUCUACAUGUUGGUAAGGCUGGAGCUGAGGACAGGUGGGUGGAGGAGAACGUUUGGCUGCCACGGUAACACGUUCUGCUAUGUACAGAGCUCUUCGGAGAACUGGGCCUCUAGUACAGUCACUUUGAUUUUCUCCAUCUGAUAUAUAAAAAGAUGGGGGCUCCUGGGACUCCAACUCUUGCAGACUGACCUUAACUAGACAGUAAGUACAAGUUAGAAGCCCGGCUCUGCCAGGCCGCACACAACAAAGCCUUCUGUCUAUCAUUCACUGCCCCCUGGUGGAACACACGGGAAACAACAUCUGGAACAAUCGUCUGGACAAUGAUCUCUUUCCUACAGGGGCGGAGGCAAAGAUGCUCUAUGUGGUCAGGUGGAAGGCUGCAAUGCCAUGCAGUGAGAGGGAAGAAGACAGAACUGAGGGCUGGAGAAAAGUGUAGCUGAGCUGAAGAUGCAGGUCUUAUGUGUGCUGUCAGAACAGGAUGAAGAGAGAUGUUGGGAGCUAAGAUUUAGAACCAAAUGGAGACAGACAUACCAGGCAGGUGAAGGGCUGAGGACUAGCUAAAGGGAACAGCCCAAUGUCAUCUAGACAAAUUGAGGAAGUUGAGUCACUGUCCUGUGGCAGGUUCUAAUAAUCCUCUAGCGCUGUUUACAACGGUAGGGUGAGCUCCAUUUUAAGAAAAUCUGGAUGGAACAAAGUGAGUUCCUAAUAGACUGGCCUCAGAAGAAUCCGAUGACUCAAAGAGGUUCAUGGGCAAAUGAAAUAGGAAAGUGAGUCAUUUCACACGGAAGCAGGCAGCCUGACAGGCUUCUCCCCUUGCUCAUAGGUAACCCCCACAUUCCUGCCACAGUCAUCUAUGACGACAGCCCAGGCAGGCCUUGAACUUGCAGACUUCCUGCUUUGGCUUCCCAAAUAGCUGAGAUUACUGGUUUGUGUCACCAGGGGUGACUCUCCCUGGCAAAAUUAGCACCAUUUAACUGUGUGAUUCUGUUUUCCACGAAGCCUAACUCAUCUUCUGUCACUGUCCAGUUUACACUAUAGCCCGCCCCCACCUCCGGCAAUAUGAGCUCUAAGCUGGACCUGAGGCCUCCCUGCUUUUUGGGGUGCUGCUUCACAUUCAAUUGAUGUUGAUUUCACGUCUUAUUUUAUGCUGCUUUGCCUCUGCAAAUGCUAUUGAGGCUUACUGACGUACCCUUCCUCUACCUCUUUAGAUUCCCGGCCCGGUCCUUUUCACCCUCUGAAGCUUCAUCUACCCCCGUACAGAUCUUCUCUAUAGUACUGCUUCUCAACGAUUUUCUCAUUACUGUGCCUGGCUCCCACUCCAGGAUCCCUUUAAGACAGCUUUCCUUAAUCACCUCCUCCUGCCAUGAAAUUUUAAUAUGGUAGAUACACUGUACAUCUGUUUAUGUACUGAGUCCCUCUGGACGACUAUAAAUUACUAUAACACUAAAGUUAGUUCACCUUCAGUAAUGAAUUUUUGCUCCUCCGGGACACCAUCACCCAUGUGGUGAAUGUAUGCAAAACAGGGUCAAACACUGCUAUUCGAAUGUGUCUUUCUGCGGGGAAAGUCAUUCUUGAGACUUCCUAAUUCUUUGACCCCCAACCCCCAGAUAGGGUUUCUUUUUGUUGUCCGGUCUGUCUUGGAACUCCCUCUGUAGACCAGGCUGGCCUCAAAUUCACAGAGAUCCACCUGCCUCUGCCUCCCAAGUGCUGGGAUUCAAGGUGUGUGCCACCAUGCCCAGCUGACCAUCCCUCCUCAAAAUCUCACCAUAGUCUUUUAUGAGCUGCCCAUGUGUGUGUCCUCUGGGGAUGGAGUCCAAAGCUUCACACAUGGUAACUAUGCGCUCUACACUGAGAUAAACCUUAGUUUCCUUUAAUAACUGCCAUUCCGCAAGGCUCAAUAUUUGUUUUAUCUCCUCUAUUUUAUACAUUCUUUCCAGGAGAUGUGGUUUAUUUCCGUAGUUUUAUUAACUACCUAUGAUGCUAUUAAAUAUGAGCCUAUCAUUUCACUAAAGUGCUUGCCCUUAGCUACAGUCUCUUGCUGUUAUUAGCAUAGUCUAUAGGCUAGUGGUGGGCAGCCUCACUGAGGGUUUCUGUCAAUGGAGAUUCCCAGGUUUUGUCCCAGACCUCUUGAACCAGAGUUUGCAUUUUAACAAGCUCCUAAGAUAUUCUGUAUGCAUACUAAAGAUAAAGAAGGCCCAGGGCUGUGUCCUAUUACCAGCUCUCUAACGGAUACUGUUAAUAAGAUGUAAGCACAUUAAUCCUGAUGUACCUCAACAGAAGAGUCAUCUACACACAGAGUCCACGCUGCCCACCUCUUCUAUGUCAUUUCUAUCUACCUGGUCACAUUCCUAGCUGUUCUACUAGUAGAUGGCUCUUGACUCUAUUUCCUCUUCUAUGCUAAUCACUAUUGCUUUCAUCUACUCUGAGGUAGAUUACCAUUGAAGGCCUAGCCGAUUUCCUGAGUCACAGCCUCUCUCCCCCGAAUUUGUCGGCCAACUACAGUUAGAGAUGUAUUUCUAAGCUACAAGCCUGAAAGAGAUGGAACUCGUGGCUAAAUUCCUUUCAGUGACUCUUCAAUGUGGAAGUGAGGGUUCUGGCAUCCAGAACAGGGUUUAGGAAAUCUGAAACUAUAAGGAAAAUUUGUGUUGUUUUCAUUUUCAAGGGACAAAGAAACAGUUUUCAUUAGAUUUUCUGAGGUGUUCUAGGACAAAGUCAGUUAAGAACGACUAAAGAAAGGACCAAGUUGACAAAAUCCAAACUAUUUAGUUUGGCAUAUAAAGA
Long non-coding RNA from Microtus oregoni (creeping vole), 3344 nucleotides. RefSeq lists it as uncharacterized. The transcript has 5 exons. The record is from RefSeq and is a predicted model, not a curated record. Lineage: Eukaryota; Metazoa; Chordata; Mammalia; Rodentia; Cricetidae.